CGACACGACACCACCUGAAAGACACAACACGACUUCUCUCAAGCUGCCGUUUUGACAGUUUUCAGGAGUGAGAGAAUAACCCCCUGCUACAGAAAACAUAACACAAGAUUCCUAAAUUUCUGAAGGGAGCUGAUCACAGAGAUGCAGAAAAGACAGGAGGUCAAAGUUUAACCUAAGUGCCGUGUAGCUGAUGAACAUCUUUUUAUGUAAGUAUAUUUUUGACGGACUGCCAGACACUUGUCAAACAGUGAUGAGCAAACGAGGGGCCGUUCUUUUAAAAAGAUCAGGGAGAUGCAAGUCUAGAGAUUAAUAUACGUUUUAAUUCAAAAUUGAUUUAUCUGGAAAAAUUUAAUAAUGUUUUGAGAUGUGCCCUAUAUGCAUUUAGAUGUCCAUCCAUGUUUAAAAUACUUUUAAAUUUAACAACGGCUAUAAGUUAUAAAAAUGUUUAAGUAAAUUGAGAAAACAUUUUCAUCAGUUUGACAACAUACACAAUCUCACAAAUAGCAUAGAAAAAGUGACAAAGCUGUCUUCUUUGUCUGUGUUUUAUUACUCUCUUUCGCACUCUCGGCCACUGUAUGUAACAGUAAUUAGUAUAAUGUAACAGUAGACAGAUGAGGAAUGUGAAUAUGUAGUUUAACUUUAAGGAGCGUUACUACUGGAACCAUUUUUUAUAUAUAUUAUAUUUUUAUAUACAUUUUAUAUAUAUAUAUGUGUGUAUAUAUAUGUAUAUGUGUGGGUAUUGAUUUCCCUUUUAAAAAAAAUUAAGCAAAAAAUUAAUUAUAAGGUAGAUCAGCUCCUGACAGACAUGUUAACAAAUCAGUUUAACUCCUAUUAAAUUUAUUCAUUCAUUUUCUUUUCUGCUUAGUCCCUUUUUUAAUCUGGGGUAACCACAACGGAAUGAACUGU
Molecule: non-coding RNA, 906 nt
Organism: Danio rerio (zebrafish)
Lineage: Eukaryota; Metazoa; Chordata; Actinopteri; Cypriniformes; Danionidae
Source: RefSeq, a predicted model, not a curated record